RNAcentral lists this unclassified non-coding RNA (300 nucleotides) under uncultured fungus. RNAcentral describes it as "partial contains small subunit ribosomal RNA, internal transcribed spacer 1, and 5.8S ribosomal RNA". The stretch from base 1 to 73 matches the Rfam family "Eukaryotic small subunit ribosomal RNA", at positions 1759 to 1831 of the family's 1831-position model. The record is from RNAcentral. Lineage: Eukaryota; Fungi.
GCAAACUUGGUCAUUUAGAGGAAGUAAAAGUCGUAACAAGGUCUCCGUUGGUGAACCAGCGGAGGGAUCAUUACCGAGUCUUCGCACUCAAAUAACCCUUCUGUGGACCUAAAUAAAACCGUUGCCUCGGCGGGCGGCCCCACCUGUGGGCCGGACAGCCCGGUCGCCUCCAGGCGCCGGCGCCAGCCGCUGGCCCAAAAUAAAAACUCUAGUAACCUUUACCUUCUGAGUUUUAACGCAAAUAAAGUCAAAACUUUCAACAACGGAUCUCUUGGCUCUGGCAUCGAUGAAGAACGCAGC